Molecule: ribosomal RNA, 253 nt
Filed under: uncultured bacterium
Lineage: Bacteria
Description: partial 16S ribosomal RNA
Rfam family: Bacterial small subunit ribosomal RNA
Source: RNAcentral
UACGGAGGGUGCAAGCGUUAUCCGGAUUCACUGGGUUUAAAGGGUGCGUAGGUGGGUUGGUAAGUCAGUGGUGAAAUCUCCGGGCUUAACCUGGAAACUGCCAUUGAUACUAUCAGUCUUGAAUACCGUGGAGGUCAGCGGAAUAUGUCAUGUAGCGGUGAAAUGCUUAGAUAUGACAUAGAACACCAAUUGCGAAGGCAGCUGACUACGCGAAUAUUGACACUGAUGCACGAAAGCGUGGGGAUCAAACAGG